RNAcentral lists this long non-coding RNA (2222 nucleotides) under Triticum aestivum (bread wheat). Its description in RNAcentral is "long non-coding RNA (TAES_LNC017979)". Lineage: Eukaryota; Viridiplantae; Streptophyta; Magnoliopsida; Poales; Poaceae. The record is from RNAcentral.
UUGCAUGCUGCAUUCCCCAACAAUCGGAUCUCAACAAAUGCACUGCAAAAGAAGAUUUCAUCGGAUAGAACUCCAACAACAUCGGGGAGAACAUUGUAUUGAAGAUCAAAGAGAAAGAAGAAGCCAUCUAGAUACUAGCUACAGACCCUUAGGUCCAUGGUAAACUACUCACGCUAUAUCGGAAGGGCAGCAAGGUUGAUUUAGAGGCCCUCCGUGAUCGAAUCCCCCUCCGACGGAGUGCCGGAAAAGGCCCCAAGAUGGGAUCUAACAGGAACAGAAGCUUGCGGCAGCGCCGCAAGUAUUUUUGGUGUGCCCUCUGGUAUAGGUGGAAUAUAUGAGGAUUUAUAGUGCAGAGAUUAGGUCAAGACGGUCCACAAGGGGCCCACAAGCUAGGUGGCGCGCCCCCACGUCUUGUGGCCGCUUCCUAGCUCUUCUGGCCUCCUCUCCAAGUAUUGUGGGUUUCUUCUGGUCCAAGAAAUAUGACCGUAAAGUUUUAUUUCGUUUGGACUCUGCUUGAUAUUCCUUUUCUGUAAAAGUCAAAAAUAAGGAAAACAUAAACUAGCACUGGGCUCUAGGUUAAUAGGUUAUUAGAAAAAUAAUAUCAAAUAGCAUAUUAAUGCAUAUAAGACAUCUAAAACAGAUAAUAUAAUAGCAUGGAACAAUAAAAAAAUUAUAGAUACGUUGGAGACAUAUCAGGCCACGACAAGGAGAUGGAGCCGCGCGGGAGAUCACAGAAGGAGUCGAGCAGGAUUACCAUAUACAACGAUCAACACAUAUUAUAUAUGGAUUAACAUAAUGGGUAGUGAGAAGUAUACAUGACUAAAAAGAAAUUAUCAUAAUGGGCAGUGAGAAGUAUACAUGACUAAAAGGAAAUUAUCAUAAUGGGCAGUGAGCAUCGCGGAAGGUGUCCUGAAGAAUACCUAUAAAGGGGAGUGAGCAUCAUGUACACAUCUCCAUCUUCUUCCACAUAUACCACUAGUGCUGAGCCGCCUUUUGAAAGAAGCCGGCGGUGCUGUCCGUCAUGCAAUGAUAGUCCAGCGAGCGGUGUCUCCGUGACUCCGGCCACAUCCUUCGACCCUGCACGAAGGCAGUCUAGAGUUUUAUGGGCAGCACCGCGUGACCGCUCUUUGCUCGACGUCCUCGAUGACAUCGUCUCUGAUGACCGCUGCUUCCUCGACGUCCCUGACGACAUCGAGUCCAGCGACAGCUGCUUCCUCGACGUCCUCGACGAGAUCGUCCCCAGCAAACUCCAUCGACAAACACCAGUGCAGUGACGUCUAGACUGUAAGUUGCAUCUAGUCAUUCCUAGUACUAUAUAAAUCUAUGCAUGUUGUAGCCAAUUCUAUAUCAGGUUUAUCUAGUGUUUAUAGACUGUUUUCUGUUCCUACUACUAGUGGACUCAGCCGUGUCCUCUGUGUAUGGUAGACUCUAUCUCCAUGUUAAUCUGCCUAUACUACUACUUUGCUACCACUAGUAUGGUAGAUAGUCCUAGCUCUUCACGUAAUGUUUUUAUUUGCAUGCUAAUUAUACAUGGAUGGGUGCUAUCAAUCUGCUCAUUUCUGAAUCUGGGAUGCAUGCUUCAGAAGAAAACCAUGUGCAUGUUUAAUCUGCUCCUGUACGUACUAAUUAAAGGAAUUAAAUUAAUGAAUAAUUGUAUAUCACUUCUAACAACACUAUGAAUCUGGGUAUAUGCCAGUCACGCUGUCCCCUAGAUUUGCAUAACAAAGCAGAGCAUCAAUCAAUUAUUAGGAAAAAUAAACAGAGAAAGAGGAAGAGACCUUGUGUGGAAAUUAUGGUGGUCUACAGCUCGUCGGGCUAGGGCGUGAGCUCGUCUUCAUCCUCAUCAUCCUCUGCUAUUCCACUAGCAACAUUGGAGCCGCGCCGGUGACGGAGGCGACGCCGUGCCGAAAACCCUAGCCAUGGGGAGGGUUUGGGCACAAGCUAUGGAGACAGGGAGUGACGGAUCUGGCCGGAGUAGACGGCACAACAGAGGGAGGCGAGCUCGGGGAUGUGCUGCAUGCCGGCCAUGGACACUAUACCUGGAUAGAAUUGACCGUUGUUUGUGGCUGCAGAGAGGGAUCUCUUGGGAGAGAGAUGGAGAGUGAGAGGGCUCGUGGGAGGGAGAGAGGGUUGGGUGUUUCAUGGGGGAGGAUUCGAGAGCUGCCUGAGGUGAGGGAGGGGAGGGGAAGCGCGGCCGGCCGGCGGAGAGCUGCGAGAAGGCG